Molecule: ribosomal RNA, 141 nt
Filed under: uncultured eukaryote
Lineage: Eukaryota
Description: partial 18S ribosomal RNA
Rfam family: Eukaryotic small subunit ribosomal RNA
Source: RNAcentral
UGGUGGAGUGAUUUGUCUAGUUAAUUCCGUUAACGAACGAGACCUCAGCCUACUAAAUAGAUAGCCGAAGAUUUUAUCUUCGCGCUAGACUUCUUAGAGGGACUUUCGGCACAAAGCCGAAGGAAGUUUGAGGCAAUAACA